This 250-nucleotide ribosomal RNA is filed under the name uncultured bacterium. Its description in RNAcentral is "partial 16S ribosomal RNA". It matches the Rfam family "Bacterial small subunit ribosomal RNA", at positions 524 to 773 of the family's 1533-position model. The record is from RNAcentral.
UACGAAGGGGGCUAGCGUUGCUCGGAAUUACUGGGCGUAAAGCGCACGUAGGCGGCUUCUUAAGUCGGUGGUGAAAUCCUGGAGCUCAACUCCAGAACUGCCUUCGAUACUGGGAGCUCGGAGUCCGGGAGAGGUGAGUGGAACUGCGAGUGUAGAGGUGAAAUUCGUAGAUAUUCGCAAGAACACCAGUGGCGAAGGCGGCUCACUGGCCCGGUACUGACGCUGAGGUGCGAAAGCGUGGGGAGCAACA